UUAACUGAAACCAAAAUAGAGGUAUAUUACUGUUAAUAAUAUAAUUGAAUAAGUUUAAUUCCAGUUAAG
RNAcentral lists this transfer RNA (69 nucleotides) under Rhabdoblatta densimaculata. RNAcentral's name for it is "tRNA-Asn". Lineage: Eukaryota; Metazoa; Arthropoda; Insecta; Blattodea; Blaberidae. The record is from RNAcentral.